AUCAUGGGUUUUCAAAAACCACUUGAGAACUAAUGAUGCACAUUCUUGACUAUGGACAAACCUGUGAUUUGUGUAAUUUAACAGAAAGUUUCAACAUCAGUCAUUGUAAAUGAAGGAAGAAAAAAGAUACUCGUUUUAAACAGUACAUUGCGGGAGGGAAGCUGAUGAGGGGAGCAUAAGCGCAUUAUUUAGGAAUGUGCUUCAGCUUGUUUACCAAGGGCUACUGAAUCACAUAAAAUAAUUUUGGACAGAGAAGAGCUUGCGAACUCAAUCACCAAGAAGCACAUCCAUCUAUGAAACACUAUCGAGUCGACGGCUGUAUUCUCUAAUGACUACUUGACACUGCACUGCAUGAAAAGGCUGGUUUCUGGACUGGACAUGCCUGCACACGAUCCCAAAAAUGCUCAAGUCCUGACUGUUUACCCGAAAGUUUCCUACAUCUUCAGGCUGACAGACUUCUUUACCUGAGAAGCUUCCUACAUCUUCAGGCUGACACACUACUUUACCCGUGAAGCUUCCUACAUCUUCGGGCUGACACACUACCAUGACUGUUAUCUAAGGACUAGGCAACACUGGACUCUGAAACCUUUACAGUGCCUGAGCCUGUGCUUUACUUUUGUGACCUACAUUCAUAACAUUUUAUUACUUUUAUUUGUAACUCUGUUAAAUGGAUAUGUAUUUUAAUAAAAUAUUUAAAUUUG
Molecule: long non-coding RNA, 701 nt
Organism: Ctenopharyngodon idella (grass carp)
Lineage: Eukaryota; Metazoa; Chordata; Actinopteri; Cypriniformes; Xenocyprididae
Exons: 2
Source: RefSeq, a predicted model, not a curated record